RNAcentral lists this transfer RNA (72 nucleotides) under Marmota marmota marmota (Alpine marmot). It matches the Rfam family "tRNA". Rfam says of the family: Transfer RNA (tRNA) molecules are approximately 80 nucleotides in length. Their secondary structure includes four short double-helical elements and three loops (D, anti-codon, and T loops). Further hydrogen bonds mediate the characteristic L-shaped molecular structure. tRNAs have two regions of fundamental functional importance: the anti-codon, which is responsible for specific mRNA codon recognition, and the 3' end, to which the tRNAs corresponding amino acid is attached (by aminoacyl-tRNA synthetases). tRNAs cope with the degeneracy of the genetic code in two manners: having more than one tRNA (with a specific anti-codon) for a particular amino acid; and 'wobble' base-pairing, i.e. permitting non-standard base-pairing at the 3rd anti-codon position. Lineage: Eukaryota; Metazoa; Chordata; Mammalia; Rodentia; Sciuridae. RNAcentral also lists the same sequence under 1 other name. The record is from Rfam by way of RNAcentral.
UGGGUUGUGGCUCAGUGGCAGAGUGCCUGCCUAGCAUGAGUGAGGCACUGGGUUUGAUUCUCAGCACCCCAU